UGUAAAGUAAGCUAAAUAAGCUAUCAGGCUCAUGCCCUGCCCAUGUCGGUGAGACCCCCUCCUUUACUA
Molecule: transfer RNA, 69 nt
Filed under: Diogenichthys atlanticus (longfin lanternfish)
Lineage: Eukaryota; Metazoa; Chordata; Actinopteri; Myctophiformes; Myctophidae
Description: tRNA-Met
Source: RNAcentral